GGCCCACAUCCAGCGUGCUAAACGAAUGUCAGGGGCUUCACAAAGAUCGCGGAUAGGGGAUAAGAUGUCUAGGGGCCAAGUAACCCUUUAAUGGCAAUUGAGUCUAAAGGUGCCAGAAUUAAGACCAACUAUGUUUCGCAGUGGGGUUCACAAUAUCCAGUCAAUAGAGGCAACAGGGUGAUAUUUGUCUGCCAUUUAUUUUAUUUUAUACAAACGGUGAAGUGAGACAUAUGGGUUAUGCCAAAGAAAACAGUGAUUUAAGGAACACGGCAAACCUUGCCAAGCUCUCCUGCGCUUUGUACGAUGACAAAAGGAAAAGGGAACAUAAGAGACAAGAAGGGAAAACCGCAGCGGAGAGCAAGCUUUUCCUGACACCUUUUAGUGCUGAAAGAAUUGUAUUGACAGGUGAUGUACGGUUCUGGCAAAAGUAGGGAGACUAAUGUAAAAAGUGUGACCUUCUUUUGCGGCGCCCAGGAUUUGUUUCAAAAUCUGCUAUUCAACACAUGCGACGGAGAGAUCUCUGAAACCGAACACUUAACAUUUCCAUUCAGGAGAUGAAAGAUGCGCUACCAGCCAAUCACUUUCUCUAUGAUUAAGCCUCA
Long non-coding RNA from Hyla sarda, 602 nucleotides. RefSeq lists it as uncharacterized. The record is from RefSeq and is a predicted model, not a curated record. The transcript is spliced from 3 exons. Lineage: Eukaryota; Metazoa; Chordata; Amphibia; Anura; Hylidae.